Harmonia axyridis is the source of this 457-nucleotide long non-coding RNA. RefSeq lists it as uncharacterized. Lineage: Eukaryota; Metazoa; Arthropoda; Insecta; Coleoptera; Coccinellidae. The transcript has 2 exons. The record is from RefSeq and is a predicted model, not a curated record.
GGAUUACUUGGAAAGUUUCAAAAAUUUCCUAGUGAACAUUCAAUUGAUGGCCGACAGAGAAAUCCAUGAUGUGUAUAACCUCUGGAAGUUACAGGACCAAUUUAAAUAUAUGAGUUCGGUAUAUGUAAUGUUCGAUAUAAAACAAAAAGAACUGGAUGCAAGAAUUCUGUGUCAAGUUAUAAAUUUCAAAAGUCACCUUUUAUAUAAGUUUUCUGAUUCUAUAAACGUACCUUCUUCAACAUCUUAUAAAAAUGAAUGCAACAACUUGGCACACGGGCAUGACCGAAGAUGAAUGCUUCCUUAUGUAGUAUAACUACAUUAAAAAGUCUAGCAUGGAUUUCUUAGAAAGUUUCAAAAAUUUCCUAGUGAAUAUGCAAUUGAUUGCCGAUAGAGAAAUCCAUGAUGUGUAUAACCUCCCGAAAUUACAGGACCAAUUUAAAUAUAUGAGUUCGAUAUA